GUGCUCACUUCGGCAGCACUUAUACUAAAAUUGGUACAAUACAGAGAAGAUUAGCAUGACCCCUGUGCAAGGAUAACACGCAAAUUCUUGAAGAGUUGAAUAUUUUG
Molecule: small nuclear RNA, 107 nt
Filed under: Salvator merianae (Argentine black and white tegu)
Lineage: Eukaryota; Metazoa; Chordata; Lepidosauria; Squamata; Teiidae
Source: RNAcentral